Molecule: long non-coding RNA, 223 nt
Filed under: Ananas comosus (pineapple)
Lineage: Eukaryota; Viridiplantae; Streptophyta; Magnoliopsida; Poales; Bromeliaceae
Description: long non-coding RNA (ACOM_LNC040304)
Source: RNAcentral
AAAAGUACCGACCGUCCCUAAAGCAAGUGGUAAAGGGCUUAGUGGCUGGUACCCGAGAUUCAAGUUCGAAUCCUAGUAGAUUCACAUUUCCAGCUAAGUUUAUUUUCUAAAUAAAAUAAACGAAGUGGGUAGCACGCUAGCUAUCUCUCAAAAAAAAAAAAAAAAAAAUACUUGAAAAGUCUAAGUUCACCGUUUAUAUUAUAUAUACUAGUCAUAUGCACGU